RNAcentral lists this ribosomal RNA (253 nucleotides) under uncultured bacterium. RNAcentral's name for it is "partial 16S ribosomal RNA". It matches the Rfam family "Bacterial small subunit ribosomal RNA", at positions 524 to 776 of the family's 1533-position model. The record is from RNAcentral.
UACGUAGGGGGCAAGCGUUGUCCGGAUUUACUGGGCGUAAAGAGCGCGUAGGCGGAAGCUUAAGUGUGGCCUGAAAGCCCCCGGCUCAACCGGGGAAGGUGGCUGCAAACUGGGCUUCUUGAGGGGGAUAGGGGAAAGUGGAAUUCCGGGUGUAGCGGUGAAAUGCGUAGAGAUCCGGAGGAACACCAGUGGCGAAGGCGGGUCUCUGGGCCGAUACUGACGCUGAGGAGCGAAAGCGUGGGGAGCGAACAGG